Molecule: non-coding RNA, 29 nt
Filed under: Rattus norvegicus (Norway rat)
Lineage: Eukaryota; Metazoa; Chordata; Mammalia; Rodentia; Muridae
Source: RNAcentral
UCAGAUGGAUGCCAGAUGUUGUGAGUUCC